GCCUUUACCGAUGACUGACUUCCUUUUUGUCACACUUUAGACUGUUGUACGGUCACAUUGGAUUUGAAAGAAACAUCCUUUCUUCCAUACAUCCACGCUGCCUGAAAGACGACAGCUUCCUGAAUCCAACGAUACCAGAUAUGUGCACAUCGGACCUCCGCUUCAAAAGAUACGGCCAGAUACUACAAAAAUACUACAUUUGGAAAAAGGAUUCUUGAAAGUGCAGUACCUUUGUGUGACCACAAGAUGUAGGUGUCACAUCACCUAUGAACCUACCCUAUGUUAAAAUCAUACACACUUGUAAAGACUGUUGUACGGUCACAUUGGAUUUGAAAGCAACAUCCUUUCUUCCAUACAUCCACGCUACCUGAAAGACGACAGCUUCCUGAAUCCAACGAUACCAGUUAUGUGAACAUCGGACCUCCGCUUCAAAAGAUACGGCCAGGUAAGCUUUGGCAAAUCAGAUCGCAUAUGCUAAUGAGGGUGGAAUUAAUGAGGGUGAAACUCGUUUUUAUCUAUAUACCUAGUUGCAAUUAACCCCAGACUAGCCCCUAACCCUAACCAUAAACUGCUAGCCCUAGCCUCACUAAAC
Molecule: long non-coding RNA, 592 nt
Organism: Cyprinus carpio (common carp)
Lineage: Eukaryota; Metazoa; Chordata; Actinopteri; Cypriniformes; Cyprinidae
Exons: 3
Source: RefSeq, a predicted model, not a curated record